AUUGAACGCUGGCGGCAUGCCUUACACAUGCAAGUCGAACGGCAGCACGGGUGCUUGCACCUGGUGGCGAGUGGCGAACGGGUGAGUAAUACAUCGGAACAUGUCCUGUAGUGGGGGAUAGCCCGGCGAAAGCCGGAUUAAUACCGCAUACGAUCUACGGAUGAAAGCGGGGGAUCUUCGGACCUCGCGCUAUAGGGUUGGCCGAUGGCUGAUUAGCUAGUUGGUGGGGUAAAGGCCUACCAAGGCGACGAUCAGUAGCUGGUCUGAGAGGACGACCAGCCACACUGGGACUGAGACACGGCCCAGACUCCUACGGGAGGCAGCAGUGGGGAAUUUUGGACAAUGGGCGAAAGCCUGAUCCAGCAAUGCCGCGUGUGUGAAGAAGGCCUUCGGGUUGUAAAGCACUUUUGUCCGGAAAGAAAUCCUUGGCUCUAAUACAGUCGGGGGAUGACGGUACCGGAAGAAUAAGCACCGGCUAACUACGUG
This 486-nucleotide ribosomal RNA is filed under the name uncultured bacterium. Its description in RNAcentral is "partial 16S ribosomal RNA". It matches the Rfam family "Bacterial small subunit ribosomal RNA", at positions 30 to 507 of the family's 1533-position model. The record is from RNAcentral.